GACGAACGCCGGCGGCGUGCUUAACACAUGCAAGUCGAACGGAAAGGCCCUGCUUGCAGGGUACUCGAGUGGCGAACGGGUGAGUAACACGUGGGUGAUCUGCCCUGCACUUCGGGAUAAGCCUGGGAAACUGGGUCUAAUACCGGAUAGGAGCCAUUUUUAGUGUGAUGGUUGGAAAGUUUUUUUCGGUGUAGGAUGAGCUCGCGGCCUAUCAGCUUGUUGGUGGGGUAAUGGCCUACCAAGGCGGCGACGGGUAGCCGGCCUGAGAGGGUGGACGGCCACAUUGGGACUGAGAUACGGCCCAGACUCCUACGGGAGGCAGCAGUGGGGAAUAUUGCACAAUGGGCGCAAGCCUGAUGCAGCGACGCCGCGUGGGGGAUGACGGCCUUCGGGUUGUAAACUCCUUUCGCUAGGGACGAAGCUUUUUGUGACGGUACCUAGAUAAGAAGCACCGGCUAACUACGUG
This 466-nucleotide ribosomal RNA is filed under the name uncultured bacterium. RNAcentral's name for it is "partial 16S ribosomal RNA". It matches the Rfam family "Bacterial small subunit ribosomal RNA", at positions 28 to 507 of the family's 1533-position model. The record is from RNAcentral.